Molecule: ribosomal RNA, 253 nt
Filed under: uncultured bacterium
Lineage: Bacteria
Description: partial 16S ribosomal RNA
Rfam family: Bacterial small subunit ribosomal RNA
Source: RNAcentral
UACAGAGGGUGCGAGCGUUGUCCGGAAUCACUGGGCGUAAAGGGCGCGUAGGCGGUCUCUUAAGCGUGUGGUGAAAGCCCGGGGCUCAACUCCGGGUCGGCCGUGCGAACUGGGGGACUGGAGCUUGUCAGAGGCAGGCGGAAUUCCGGGUGUAGCGGUGGAAUGCAUUGAGAUCGGAAAGAACACCAACGGCGAAAGCACUCUGCUGGGCCGACACUGACACUGAGAGACGAAAGCUAGGGGAGCAAAUGGG